RNAcentral lists this ribosomal RNA (408 nucleotides) under uncultured bacterium. Its description in RNAcentral is "partial 16S ribosomal RNA". It matches the Rfam family "Bacterial small subunit ribosomal RNA", at positions 28 to 526 of the family's 1533-position model. The record is from RNAcentral.
GACGAACGCUGGCGGCGUGCUUAACACAUGCAAGUCGAACGGAGUGCCGAACGGGUGAGUAACACGUGGGUGACCUGCCCUGCACUUCGGGAUAAGCCUGGGCAACUGGGUCCAAUACCGGAUAGUGUGGGAUGGGCCCGCGGCCUAUCAGCUUGUGGAGGGGGCAAUGGACUACCAAGGCGGCGACGGGUCGCCGGCCUGGGAGGGGGGACAGCCACAUUGGGACUGAGACACGGACCAGACGAGUACGGGGGGCAGGAGUGGGAAAUAUUGCGCAGUGGGCGGGAGCCUGAUGCAGCGACGCGGGGGGGGGGAUGACGGGCUUCGGGUUGGAAACGCCUUUCACCAUCGACGCGGUAGAUGGAGAAGAAGCACCGGCUAACUACGUGCCAGCAGCCGCGGUAAUUC